UUCCCGUACGAUCACCGAAGUUAAGCAACGUCGAGCCUGGUCAAUACCUAGAUUGGUGACCGCUUGGGACUACCAGGUGCUGUAAG
Molecule: non-coding RNA, 86 nt
Organism: Acanthosepion pharaonis
Lineage: Eukaryota; Metazoa; Mollusca; Cephalopoda; Sepiida; Sepiidae
Source: the annotation of a GenBank genome assembly